ACGUAGGAGACUAGCGUUAUCCGGAUUUACUGGGCGUAAAGCGCGUGCAGGCGGUUCAGCAAGUUGGAUGUGAAAGCUCCCGGCUUAACUGGGAGAGGUCGUUCAAUACUACUGGACUAGAGAGUGGUAGAGGGAGGUGGAAUUCCGGGUGUAGUGGUGAAAUGCGUAGAUAUCCGGAGGAACACCAGUGGCGAAAGCGGCCUGCUCGGCCUUGCCUGACGCUCAGACGCGAAAGCAUGGGGAGCGAACGG
Molecule: ribosomal RNA, 251 nt
Filed under: uncultured prokaryote
Description: partial 16S ribosomal RNA
Rfam family: Bacterial small subunit ribosomal RNA
Source: RNAcentral